This 1207-nucleotide long non-coding RNA is filed under the name Homo sapiens (human). RNAcentral describes it as "HSALNT0399332". Lineage: Eukaryota; Metazoa; Chordata; Mammalia; Primates; Hominidae. The record is from RNAcentral.
GCGGAAGCCAGCCACCGCUCUCCAAGGACUCUCGAGCAGCUCCAUCUACAGAUUCACAUGGAGAAGAAUUAAGGGUUCCUGCCAAUCACCAGCACCACUUUGCCAGCCUUGUAAGUGGGCCACCUUGGAAUUGGAGCCUCCAGUUCCUACUGACAUCUGACUGCAACAUCAUGAGAGACCCUGAGUUUGAACCACCCAGCUGAGCUGCUUCUGAGCUAACCCACUGAAACCUUGGCAUCUGUGUGAAGAUGUGAAUGGAGGAGGCAGAGUAGGCAGUGAGUGCCGCAGCCACAGCUUGUGUUCUCUGCAGCCCUGGCACAGAAGAUAGGAACACUCAUGGGGGAUGCGGCCACUGUGAUGUCUUCCCACACAAGAAGUGCCAAGUGCUUUUCUCAUGCUUUUCUGGAUUGUCCCAUGGUGGACGAGUCAGCAGGAGUGAGAUGGAGCAGCACAGUAGAGGGGUACCUGGCAAGGCCCGGAGGGAGGACCCCCUGCCCCAAACAUUUCAAUGAUAUCAGGUUCCUUAGAUCCUGGGAUGAGGAGGUGGACCAGCAGAAGGUGGGCUUGUGAAGGCAGCCCGGGGUCCAAAUCCUCCUGGCUCUUCAGCUUAGCGGGUUAGUUAACAUUCAGAAGCCUUCAUCUCCCAUCUGCAAAAUGGGCAUGUCCAACUCAGAAGCUGCCUUGAAGAAAGGGUCUACCCAGCAUGGUGCGUGGAGCCUAAGCAGUCAGUACUUCAGGACUUCACCCGGCCCCUUUCCAAUAACUGCUGCUGUCGCCCUCACAGGAUGUCACCUUCAGCGUCUGAAAGCUGGGUUUGAUGCGUCUGGAAAGGCGUCCCUGACAGGCGUCGUUGCCAGGAGCCCCUAGUGCCACCAGCAGCCAGCAGGGGAGGGCGUCCUCUGCCCGCUCACUUCUGACCCUUCUCUCGUUGCACCCGGAACAUGGUGCAGCUGGGAGCAGCCUGGGCUGCGCGGAAGGCUCAGAUUUGGGGACGGCCCUUGCCAGUGACUGUGAGCUGGGGUGUCUUGGAAACUCCCAGUCUCAGCUUCUCCAUUUAUAAGAUGAGAAUGAUCAUACCAGACUCAGGCAAGGUUGUUUGUGCAUUAGUGAAAUCAGACGUAUUAAAUAAAGUACCACAUUGAUCGUGGAGUUGUUGAAUAACCAAGAACACGCCUAUCUGUCUCCAAAAAAUAAAUGUUGAAAAUGA